This 253-nucleotide ribosomal RNA is filed under the name uncultured bacterium. RNAcentral describes it as "partial 16S ribosomal RNA". It matches the Rfam family "Bacterial small subunit ribosomal RNA", at positions 524 to 776 of the family's 1533-position model. The record is from RNAcentral.
GACAGAGGGGGCAAGCGUUGCUCGGAAUCACUGGGCGUAAAGGGCGCGUAGGCGGGAUGGCAAGUCAGUCGUGAAAUCUCUCGGCUCAACCGAGAAACGUCGGCUGAUACUGCCGUUCUUGAGGGAUGCAGAGGAGACUGGAAUUCCUGGUGUAGCGGUGAAAUGCGCAGAUAUCAGGAGGAACACCGAUGGCGAAGGCAGGUCUCUGGGCAUUAACUGACGCUGAGGAGCGAAAGCAUGGGGAGCGAACAGG